UACGGGGGGGGUAAGCGUUGUUCGGAAUUACUGGGCGUAAAGGGCUCGUAGGCGGCCAACUAAGUCAUACGUGAAAUCCCUCAGCUUAACUGGGGAACUGCGUGUGAUACUGGAUGGCUUGGAUUUGGGAGAGGGAUGCGGAAUUCCAGGUGUAGCGGUGAAAUGCGUAGAUAUCUAGAGGAACACCGGUGGCGAAGGCGGCAUUCUGGACCGAUAUUGACGCUGAGGAGCGAAAGCCAGGGGAGCAAACGGG
RNAcentral lists this ribosomal RNA (253 nucleotides) under uncultured bacterium. RNAcentral describes it as "partial 16S ribosomal RNA". It matches the Rfam family "Bacterial small subunit ribosomal RNA", at positions 524 to 776 of the family's 1533-position model. The record is from RNAcentral.